AGUGAACGCUGGCGGUAGGCCUAACACAUGCAAGUCGAACGGCAGCACAGUAAGAGCUUGCUCUUACGGGUGGCGAGUGGCGGACGGGUGAGGAAUACAUCGGAAUCUACUUUUUCGUGGGGGAUAACGUAGGGAAACUUACGCUAAUACCGCAUACGACCUACGGGUGAAAGCAGGGGAUCUUCGGACCUUGCGCGAUUGAAUGAGCCGAUGUCGGAUUAGCUAGUUGGCGGGGUAAAGGCCCACCAAGGCGACGAUCCGUAGCUGGUCUGAGAGGAGGAUCAGCCACAUUGGAACUGGGACACGGUCCAGACUCCUACGGGAGGCAGCAGUGGGGAAUAUUGGACAAUGGGCGCAAGCCUGAUCCAGCCAUACCGCGUGGGUGAAGAAGGCCUUCGGGUUGUAAAGCCCUUUUGUUGGGAAAGAAAAGCAGCAGGUUAAUACCCCGCUGUUCUGACGGUACCCAAAGAAUAAGCACCGGCUAACUUCGUG
RNAcentral lists this ribosomal RNA (492 nucleotides) under uncultured bacterium. Its description in RNAcentral is "partial 16S ribosomal RNA". It matches the Rfam family "Bacterial small subunit ribosomal RNA", at positions 29 to 507 of the family's 1533-position model. The record is from RNAcentral.